This 372-nucleotide ribosomal RNA is filed under the name uncultured organism. RNAcentral describes it as "partial 16S ribosomal RNA". It matches the Rfam family "Bacterial small subunit ribosomal RNA", at positions 528 to 896 of the family's 1533-position model. The record is from RNAcentral.
GGAGGAGCAAACGUUGUUCGGAAUUACUGGGGCGUAGAGGGCGUGUAGGUGGUCGAGUAAGUCAGGUGUGAAAUCUUACCGCUUAACGGGUAAAGUUGCAUUUGAAACUGCUUGACUGGAGGUCAGGAGAGGAGAGCGGAAUUCCCAGUGUAGCGGUGGAAUGCGUAGAUAUUGGGAAGAACACCAGUGGCGAAGGCGGCUCUCUGGACUGAAUCUGACACUGAGGCGCGAAAGCUAGGGGAGCAAACAGGAUUAGAUACCCUGGUAGUCCUAGCCGUAAACGAUGGGCACUAGGUGCUGGAAAUAUCGACGUUUUCAGCGCCGUAGCUAACGCAUUAAGUGCCCCGCCUGGGGAGUACGACCGCAAGGUUG